This is a long non-coding RNA of Syzygium oleosum, 1555 nucleotides long. RefSeq lists it as uncharacterized. The record is from RefSeq and is a predicted model, not a curated record. Lineage: Eukaryota; Viridiplantae; Streptophyta; Magnoliopsida; Myrtales; Myrtaceae. The transcript is spliced from 3 exons.
UGCUCAAAUGACGACUCUCUUUUGUCCUUUAAUUGCAGAUAAUGGCGGUGGUAUGGAUCCAGAUAAAAUGUGGCAGUGCAUGUGUUUGGGGUAUUCUGCCAACAGCAAACUGGCAAAUACAAUUGGACAAUAUGGCAAUGGUUUUAAUAUGAGCACAGUGAGGCUUGGGGCAGAUGUGAUAGUGUUCUCAAGAUGUCACGGAAAAGAUGGGAAAAGUUUUACACAGAGCAUUGGGAUGCUUUCAUAUAUGUUUUUGAGGAGCACCGGGAAGGAAGAUAUUGGAGUACCCGUGGUAAUGACAUCUCAAUCUACUUUUUUUUUUUUUUGAUGAUGUACACUCAAAGAAGUUUUUUUAAAUGUUGCAUAUCGAAAAUAGGCCGCGAGCCGUGUCAAAAUCGGACCUGUGACUCUACUUCUUGGUCGCACCUUACAUGUUUGACAAAAUGCCCCAGUGAAACAGUUUAAGCUUGGAAUGUCCAAACCUGACCGUGUCAAUUUUUGGAGUUCUAUUGUAAAACGAAGCAGUUUAGUGGUAUAAGUGACUGUUUAUACCUAUUUCACACCACAUUUGAGCCAAAAAUCGCCCCAAAUCUCAGUUUUGAGUCUCUGUUUGAACUCGCCUACCACCCGUUUGACAAAAUGCUCAAGAGAGGCCCGAGAUGAAUGCUAUGAAAAUCGAUGCUCUCGAGCUUCGAUUUGUGCAUGGUUUGUUCUAAUAUUGUCACUGUCUCCAAGUUAUUUUUUCGUUUCAUGUGAUUUUGUGGCAUAUUUACUCCGGUUCGAGGCGGCCAUGUGCGCACCUCCCACCCGCCAGAAAGCUUUUCGUCAACGGUGCCUGCGGUGCGAGGCCGCCACCGUAAGUUCAUUAUUUUCUAUUCCAUGUCGUGUAUGUUUGGUUGCUUAGGUUUAAUGUUACUCUGGUGGCCGUGAGUUUGGGGGCUGGGAAAUCGAACUUUUGCUCGUCGACUCAUUUUCAUGGUCGGGGUUAGUCGACGGUUCGGUAGCUGCGUUGGCCGGCGGCGAGGGUGUAGAAUCGGUGGCGGUCGUCGGUGUUGACCGCGCGAGCCGGCGAUCAGGGGGCGAUGAGGUUCCCGGCGUGGUCUCGGCUGGAGGCGUGAGGAAGGAGGCUGUCGGUGAGCUCCCAGCGUGAGUUUGUGAGGAAAAAGAAGACGAGGAAGAAGGCGUCCAGGGAAAAAGACGUCAGGGAAGAAGACCGAAAAAGUAAAAAAAUGGGAAAGAAAAAAGAAAAAGAAGGAAAAUAGAAAAAUAAAUAAAUAAUUAGGAAAGAAAUAGAAAAAGGGGGUCCCGAGCGGGUCAGAGAUCCGGGUCGGAUCGGGUCAGGGGACCCGGUCCGAAAUUCUUAUUUUAUUAUUUAAAUAUUAAGAUAUUAAAAAUAUAAUUAAAAAAAAUCCCAAAAAUUCCAAAAAAUUCAGAAAAUUAGGAAUUGUUUAGAAAUUAGUUAUUGGCUUCAUUUCACUAGAUAUUAGUGUUAAUUUCACUCUAGAUUUAGUUUAAAACUUGUAAAAAAUUGAGAAAACCUUUAAAAGUUUCCCAA